RNAcentral lists this ribosomal RNA (791 nucleotides) under uncultured bacterium. Its description in RNAcentral is "bacterial SSU rRNA". It matches the Rfam family "Bacterial small subunit ribosomal RNA", at positions 8 to 798 of the family's 1533-position model. The record is from RNAcentral.
AGAGUUUGAUCCUGGCUCAGGAUGAACGCUAGCGGCAGGCUUAACACAUGCAAGUCGAGGGGUAGAGGUUGCUUGCAACCUUGAGACCGGCGCACGGGUGCGUAACGCGUAUGCAACCUACCUUUUACAGAGGGAUAGCCCAGAGAAAUUUGGAUUAAUACCUCAUAGUAUAUAUCUUUCGCAUGUUAGGUAUAUUAAAGUUCCAACGGUAAAAGGUGGGCAUGCGUCCUAUUAGCUAGAUGGUAAGGUAACGGCUUACCAUGGCUACGAUAGGUAGGGGUCCUGAGAGGGAGAUCCCCCACACUGGUACUGAGACACGGACCAGACUCCUACGGGAGGCAGCAGUGAGGAAUAUUGGACAAUGGGCGCAAGCCUGAUCCAGCCAUGCCGCGUGCAGGAAGAAGCAUCUAUGGUGUGUAAACUGCUUUUGUACAGGAAGAAACAUCCCGACGUGUCGGGACUUGACGGUACUGUAAGAAUAAGGAUCGGCUAACUCCGUGCCAGCAGCCGCGGUAAUACGGAGGAUCCAAGCGUUAUCCGGAAUCAUUGGGUUUAAAGGGUCCGUAGGCGGUUUGGUAAGUCAGUGGUGAAAGCCCGCAGCUCAACUGUGGAACGGCCAUUGAUACUGCCAGACUUGAAUUACAAGGAAGUAACUAGAAUAUGUAGUGUAGCGGUGAAAUGCUUAGAUAUUACAUGGAAUACCAAUUGCGAAGGCAGGUUACUACUUGUGGAUUGACGCUGAUGGACGAAAGCGUGGGGAGCGAACAGGAUUAGAUACCCUGGUAGUCCAA